CCACCCGAGAAGCACGUUCACUCACUCGCUCACUCGCUCUCACUUCGCGUAUAUCGUAUACGGUCAUACGCACAAGCCGAGCUCGACUGUCGUCGCAGGACGAGGUGAGCAGCUCAUGAGCAUCUCCUUGCUCUUCUCUGUCUUUCCGUAGUAUUUUUCUGUAUUUCUUCUUGUAUUUGUCUAUACCGAUUCACUGCCAAGAACUUCACGAACUAAACCAUGACAUACAGAAGCGCUCUAAUUAUCCCUGCUAAUUUAUCACUUCUCAUGCAUAUGUGGACCAUAAGCAUUAACUUCAUGCACUACCAGUCAAGUAAAUGCCCACGUGAAGCAUCCAUUCCUUAAUCAUCGUUAGUCUUUUUCGCAUGAUUAAAUUUCAGUCAUUUUACAAAUACCACAUGCUAACUCUGAUUUCAAUAAUUCUUUUUCCUAAAUUCAUCUAAAAUCAUGAUCUACCUCCCAUAUUAAUUUCAUGAUUUUUAGAGCUUAUUUGAAUUUAUGUGAUUAUUUAUCUGUGCUUGUUGUCUGUGUCGGUCGUCGCGUAUUUUAGCUGACGGAGUGAACGAGCCGGAAAACGAGAACGUUGGAGACGAGUACCGCGAGUUUGACGCCGAGGACCCGGACUGUCAGCAAGAGUUUGCCGAGGACGCCGACGGAGGCAAGUCCAACCGAUUCCCUUUGAUGCAUUUUGAUCCUAUUUUUAAACACAACCCGUAGAAGCCGUUUAAAAUAUUGUAUGUACGAUAUAUGUACGAAGUAUUUUCGCUGCUU
Molecule: long non-coding RNA, 771 nt
Filed under: Sorghum bicolor (sorghum)
Lineage: Eukaryota; Viridiplantae; Streptophyta; Magnoliopsida; Poales; Poaceae
Description: long non-coding RNA (SBIC_LNC001385)
Source: RNAcentral